RNAcentral lists this ribosomal RNA (510 nucleotides) under uncultured bacterium. Its description in RNAcentral is "partial 16S ribosomal RNA". It matches the Rfam family "Bacterial small subunit ribosomal RNA", at positions 28 to 507 of the family's 1533-position model. The record is from RNAcentral.
GACGAACGCUGGCGGCGUGCUUAACACAUGCGAGUCGAACGAAGAGCGAUGGAAGCUUGCUUCUAUCAAUCUUAGUGGCGAACGGGUGAGUAACGCGUAAUCAACCUGCCCUUCAGAGGGGGACAACAGUUGGAAACGACUGCUAAUACCGCAUACGAUCUAAUCUCGGCAUCGAGGAUAGAUGAAAGGUGGCCUCUACAUGUAAGCUAUCACUGAAGGAGGGGAUUGCGUCUGAUUAGCUAGUUGGAGGGGUAACGGCCCACCAAGGCGAUGAUCAGUAGCCGGUCUGAGAGGAUGAACGGCCACAUUGGGACUGAGACACGGCCCAGACUCCUACGGGAGGCAGCAGUGGGGAAUCUUCCGCAAUGGACGAAAGUCUGACGGAGCAACGCCGCGUGAGUGAUGACGGCCUUCGGGUUGUAAAGCUCUGUUAAUCGGGACGAAAGGCCUUCUUGCGAACAGUUAGAAGGAUUGACGGUACCGGAAUAGAAAGCCACGGCUAACUACGUG